This 936-nucleotide ribosomal RNA is filed under the name Inocybe misera. RNAcentral describes it as "partial 28S ribosomal RNA". It matches the Rfam family "Eukaryotic large subunit ribosomal RNA", at positions 23 to 941 of the family's 3401-position model. The record is from RNAcentral. Lineage: Eukaryota; Fungi; Basidiomycota; Agaricomycetes; Agaricales; Inocybaceae.
ACCCGCUGAACUUAAGCAUAUCAAUAAGCGGAGGAAAAGAAACUAACAAGGAUUCCCCUAGUAACUGCGAGUGAAGCGGGAAAAGCUCAAAUUUGAAAUCUGGCGGUUCUCGACUGUCCGAGUUGUAAUCUAGAGAAGUGUUACCUGUGCUGGACCGUGUACAAGUCUUCUGGAAUGGAGCAUCAUAGAGGGUGAGAAUCCCGUCUUUGACACGGACUACCUGUACAUUAUGGUGUGCUCUCAAAGAGUCGAGUUGUUUGGGAAUGCAGCUCAAAAUGGGUGGUAAAUGCCAUCUAAAGCUAAAUAUUGGCGAGAGACCGAUAGCGAACAAGUACCGUGAGGGAAAGAUGAAAAGAACUUUGGAAAGAGAGUUAAACAGUACGUGAAAUUGCUGAAAGGGAAACGCUUGAAGUCAGUCGCGUUGGCUUGAAAUCAGCCUUAGCUUUUGCUUGGUGUACUUUCUUGUUGACGGGUCAGCAUCAAUUUUGACCACUGGAUAAAGUCUUUGGGAAUGUGACAUCUUCGGAUGUGUUAUAGCCCAUCGUCGCAUACAGUGGUUGGGAUUGAGGAACUCAGCACGGCCGCAAGGCUUCGGGUUUCGACCACGUUCGUGCUUAGGAUGCUGGCAUAAUGGCUUUAAUCGACCCGUCUUGAAACACGGACCAAGGAGUCUAACAUGCCUGCGAGUGUUUGGGUGGAAAACCCAUGCGCGCAAUGAAAGUGAAAGUUGAGAUCCCUSUCAAAGGGGAGCAUUGACGCCCGGACCAGACCUUCUGUGACGGAUCCGCGGUAGAGCAUGUAUGUUGGGACCCGAAAGAUGGUGAACUAUGCCUGAAUAGGGUGAAGCCAGAGGAAACUCUGGUGGAGGCUCGUAGCGAUUCUGACGUGCAAAUCGAUCGUCAAAUUUGGGUAUAGGGGCGAAAGACUAAUCGAACC